RNAcentral lists this ribosomal RNA (606 nucleotides) under uncultured bacterium. Its description in RNAcentral is "bacterial SSU rRNA". It matches the Rfam family "Bacterial small subunit ribosomal RNA", at positions 338 to 951 of the family's 1533-position model. The record is from RNAcentral.
CCUACGGGAGGCAGCAGUAAGGAAUAUUGGUCAAUGGACGAAAGUCUGAACCAGCCAUGCCGCGUGAAGGAUUAAGGCCCUCUGGGUUGUAAACUUCUUUUAUCUGGGACGAAAAAAGGGUAUUCUUACUCACUUGACGGUACCAGAGGAAUAAGCACCGGCUAACUCCGUGCCAGCAGCCGCGGUAAUACGGAGGGUGCAAGCGUUAUCCGGAUUUACUGGGUUUAAAGGGUGCGUAGGUGGGCUUGUAAGUCAGUGGUGAAAUCUCCGGGCUUAACCCGGAAACUGCCAUUGAUACUAUAGGUCUUGAAUUAUCUGGAGGUAAGCGGAAUAUGUCAUGUAGCGGUGAAAUGCUUAGAUAUGACAUAGAACACCAAUUGCGAAGGCAGCUUACUACGGAUAUAUUGACACUGAGGCACGAAAGCGUGGGGAUCAAACAGGAUUAGAUACCCUGGUAGUCCACGCCCUAAACGAUGGAUACUCGACAUCAGCGAUACACUGUUGGUGUCUGAGCGAAAGCAUUAAGUAUCCACCUGGAAGUACGAUCGCAGAUUGAAACUCAAAUGAAUUGACGGCUGAGAGNGCGAGACGACACGAGGGAGGAGG